GACGAACGCUGGCGGCGUGCUUAACACAUGCAAGUCGAACGAAGUGGCGAACGGGUGAGUAACGCGUAAUCAACCUGCCCUUCAGAGGGGGAUAACAGUUGGAAACGACUGCUAAUACCGCAUACUGAAGGAGGGGAUUGCGUCGGAUUAGCUAGUUGGAGGGGUAACUGCCCACCAAGGCGAUGAUCAGUAGCCGGUCUGGGGGGAUGGACGGCCACAUUGGGACUGGGGCACGGCCCAGACUCCUACGGGAGGGAGCAGUGGGGAAUCUUCCGAAAUGGGGGGAAGUCUGGCGGAGCAACGCCGGGUGAGUGAUGACGGCCUUCGGGUUGUAAAACUCUGUUAAUCGGGACGCGGUACCGGAAUAGAAAGCCACGGCUAACUACGUGCCAGCAGCCGCGGUAAUAC
This 408-nucleotide ribosomal RNA is filed under the name uncultured bacterium. RNAcentral describes it as "partial 16S ribosomal RNA". It matches the Rfam family "Bacterial small subunit ribosomal RNA", at positions 28 to 526 of the family's 1533-position model. The record is from RNAcentral.